CACAGUGUGCGUGAAAAGAAAGAAAAAAAAAGAGAGAUUUUUGGAGUGGCGAGCGGGGCCGAGGACUGGGGGGUUGAAUUUUCAACCAGCGAGCGUUUCAACACUACUGC
Long non-coding RNA from Ipomoea nil (Japanese morning glory), 110 nucleotides. RefSeq lists it as uncharacterized. NCBI's taxonomy places the organism in Eukaryota, Viridiplantae, Streptophyta, Magnoliopsida, Solanales, Convolvulaceae. The transcript is spliced from 3 exons. The record is from RefSeq and is a predicted model, not a curated record.